Long non-coding RNA from Ornithodoros turicata, 1680 nucleotides. RefSeq lists it as uncharacterized. The transcript is spliced from 3 exons. NCBI's taxonomy places the organism in Eukaryota, Metazoa, Arthropoda, Arachnida, Ixodida, Argasidae. The record is from RefSeq and is a predicted model, not a curated record.
CACUUUGAGAGAUAACCGCUCUUGAUCAUUUCCUGUACUGGACUAGCAUGGUUGUCCGUUUGCAGUGCUUUGCGUUGACUAUUAUGUGGGGGAACGCAACUGAGUACAUCUAAUCACUUCAUAACCACGGCUGCUUUGGCACAGUUCUAACCAUAUACAGUCAACCCUCGAUUUAUGAACCUUCGAUUUAUGAAUUCCCUCGUUUUAUGAACACUAGCACGAGGAACCUUUACCACGAGGAACUUUUUACUUGCAUUUUCCCCUCGUUUUAUGAACCUCGAUAUUCGAAUGAUGAAUGGAAUUUCUGGGAACCAACUAGGAGUUCCCAGCGUUUUUGCCAUCAAUUUAUGACCGGAUCGUUCCGAGGCCAACAGAAACCUUCGAAGAGAUUAUUCGUGCCCUUAUGAAUGGCGCCUGAACAGACAAAACGUUUUCCAGGAAUUGCAUCCCCAGUUCUUAACCCCUCGGAAUCCGAACAACAAACGGUUUUUGCAGAAGUGUUCCUGGCCGCAAUUGAUGAAUAAGGUGUCCGGUGUCACCCGGAGAUUAAUAAACAUAGGUUAAAAAUCCCAGCGGAAAUCCAGGACCACUUGAGUGCGAAUGUGCUGACAUAUCUUUCCAAGAUUGACACAGCGGAAGGCAUGGUCCAAAGGAAAAUUAAACAAUAUAUUGCAUUAUAAACACAAUCCCAUCUCUGAAAUACUGUUCCAUUUGCUCGAUAGUACUCACUGAACGGAAUUUUCGAUUUAUGAAUCCCUCGAUUUAUGAACAAUUUUUCGGGGAACCGAGGGUGUUCAUAAAUCCAGGGAUCACUGUACUACGUUUGUGAUACGAUAAGACGUCUGUUUGCUCCUCCAUAAAAAUAUCUCGACUCAAAGAUGACUCUGGAAAACGACGGCAUUGGAAAAAAAAGACUCCUGUAAUAGCAUCCAUUUAUCACCAGAAAAGCGCAAGAGCCGAAAAGCGUAUUUUCAGCGUCAACGUCAACGUUUUAGAAGCCUAACCUUAAAUGCGUAACUCGCAACUCAUUUUUCACACGAGACAAUUUAUGUUCUGAGGCUGGAACACAUGUCUAGGACAAACACAUACGAGUUCAUUAUUUCUUUCAUCGUUUUUCACAUUCUUUCAAACUACACAUGGCUGUAUCGGAUGAAGUGAGGUUUCUACUAAAACUGUUUCUGAGGACUUCAAACAAACAAGCUCUUUUAUUCAUUUUCUCCAGGAAUGUUUCAACGAUCUCUUCGUGGACACAAUGACGCCUCUACGUUUCGCUGUUGUCUUCGUCCUCCUCUUUGGUGGAUUUGUCGCCAGUGAAGCUGCACCUGAAGGACACGAGCUUGAACGUCGUGACGUUGUCGUUGAGCUCUGCGCUUGUCUUCAUGGUGUUAUCGAUUGCCCUAGCGAAAGUUGCACACUCGCGAGCGAGUGUACGGAAUGCGCCGAUCUCUCGGUAUGCCUUUGUUAUGGGGGUAGCACCUGCCCUGGAGACAGUUGCACAGCGGAGAGCGGCUGUUCGAAAUGCACCCAUACCAUUGAGUAAACAACAUGGCUGACUGGCAUCCCUCAACUACGAAAUGAUCAAUUGCACGUAUAUGAAAUAAGAGACCCUGGUAUUCUCUUUUACCAAUAUGUUCAUGGGUGGCGGGAACUUUUGAGGGCAAUAAAUUGUACUAAGCAGCA